CCUGAGAAACCCAAAAGAUCGAAUGGGGAGAUUCAUCGUCAGCUCAUUUUGUAUAUGUAUAAGUUAUGAUACGGGUUACUACUUGUAGUAUUGCCUGCACAUUCUUGUAUAUUUAGUUGCAAGAUGUUGUCGGCGUGCACUUCUCCCCUAGUAGAACGUCGCGACCUGUUUGGUGUCGGUCUACGGCCCAAGUGAUAGCCUUUAAUGUAAUUUAAAAAACAUUGAAGAUCCUUGGUGUUUUCUGACCGGCUACUUGGCAGUAUUCGUACGGUAUUUAGCCGCUAAAUUUUUUAAGCGUCCAUAUCCAUUACAAGCGAGGCUAAUUUACUGAUAGUACGGACCUAGUGCCGUCGUUGGUAUUGGCCAGCUGUUGGUUGAUGGUAUUCUAGGACUGGCUAAAAUUAAUUACCGGUCGGCGAUGCUACUGCUUUGGGUACUUUCAG
This 443-nucleotide ribosomal RNA is filed under the name Aleiodes sp. gvc09997-1L. RNAcentral describes it as "LSU rRNA". Lineage: Eukaryota; Metazoa; Arthropoda; Insecta; Hymenoptera; Braconidae. The record is from RNAcentral.